UACGUAGGGCGCAAGCGUUAUCCGGAAUUAUUGGGCGUAAAGAGCUCGUAGGCGGCUUGUCGCGUCGGCUGUGAAAACCCGCGGCUCAACUGUGGGCGGGCAGCUGAUACGGGCAGGCUGGAGUUCGGUAGGGGAGAACGGAAUUCCUGGUGUAGCGGUGAAAUGCGCAGAUAUCGAGGAGGAACGACCGGUGGCGAAGGCGGGUUCUCUGGGCAUUACCUGACGCUGGAGG
This 232-nucleotide ribosomal RNA is filed under the name uncultured bacterium. Its description in RNAcentral is "partial 16S ribosomal RNA". It matches the Rfam family "Bacterial small subunit ribosomal RNA", at positions 524 to 752 of the family's 1533-position model. The record is from RNAcentral.